This 498-nucleotide ribosomal RNA is filed under the name uncultured bacterium. RNAcentral describes it as "bacterial SSU rRNA". It matches the Rfam family "Bacterial small subunit ribosomal RNA", at positions 32 to 507 of the family's 1533-position model. The record is from RNAcentral.
UCAACGCUGGCGGCGUGCCUAACACAUGCAAGUCGAACGCGAAAGUGGAGCAAUCCAUGAGUAGAGUGGCAAACGGGUGAGUAACACGUGGGUGACCUGCCUUCGAGUGGGGGAUAACGUCCCGAAAGGGACGCUAACACCGCAUAAUAUGCUGUCUUUUAAGAGAGAGACAUCAAAGCCGGGGACCGUAAGGCCUGGCGCUUGAAGAGGGGCCCGCGCCUGAUUAGCUAGUUGGUGGGGUAAUGGCUCACCAAGGCAACGAUCAGUAUCCGGCCUGAGAGGGCGGACGGACACACUGGGACUGAGACACGGCCCAGACUCCUACGGGAGGCAGCAGUGGGGAAUUGUUCGCAAUGGGCGCAAGCCUGACGACGCAACGCCGCGUGGAGGAUGAAGAUCUUCGGGUCGUAAACUCCUUUCGAUCGAGACGAAUGGCCCUUGGGAUAAUACCCUGAGGGAGUGACGGUACCGAGAGAAGAAGCCCCGGCUAACUCCGUG